Molecule: long non-coding RNA, 394 nt
Filed under: Daucus carota (carrot)
Lineage: Eukaryota; Viridiplantae; Streptophyta; Magnoliopsida; Apiales; Apiaceae
Description: long non-coding RNA (DCAR_LNC006264)
Source: RNAcentral
CAUCAACAAGCUGCCCCACAUGGUCUCUCCCAAUAACUCCGAUAGCUGCUGAGCCAUUUUUAAAAGCUCCAUCACAAUUAAACUUCACCUUAUUCACAGGGGGAGGGAUCCACUGUAGUGAAGAAACAACUGUGGAGCUUCUAGACUCUAAACAUGAUGUUUCUAAUAAAGAUAAAAACUCUGCCUGAGCUUGAACACUAGCCUUUAAAGUCGAAACAAGGCUGACUGGAACAUUUUCGUAAACAAACUUAUUUCUGGAUACCCAAACAGACCAUCCCACAAAAGCAAAUGUCGAAAGGAAAAACAACACAUCCUUCUUCGACUCAAACAUUGAUAUCAUAGAAGAUAACCACUGAAUAACAGAACUUGAAGGCAGAGAAGAUCUUAGAAGACC